Molecule: ribosomal RNA, 1307 nt
Filed under: Bacillus sp. (in: firmicutes)
Lineage: Bacteria; Bacillati; Bacillota; Bacilli; Caryophanales; Bacillaceae
Description: bacterial SSU rRNA
Rfam family: Bacterial small subunit ribosomal RNA
Source: RNAcentral
UGCAAGUCGAGCGGACAGAAGGGAGCUUGCUCCCGGAUGUUAGCGGCGGACGGGUGAGUAACACGUGGGUAACCUGCCUGUAAGACUGGGAUAACUCCGGGAAACCGGAGCUAAUACCGGAUAGUUCCUUGAACCGCAUGGUUCAAGGAUGAAAGACGGUUUCGGCUGUCACUUACAGAUGGACCCGCGGCGCAUUAGCUAGUUGGUGAGGUAACGGCUCACCAAGGCGACGAUGCGUAGCCGACCUGAGAGGGUGAUCGGCCACACUGGGACUGAGACACGGCCCAGACUCCUACGGGAGGCAGCAGUAGGGAAUCUUCCGCAAUGGACGAAAGUCUGACGGAGCAACGCCGCGUGAGUGAUGAAGGUUUUCGGAUCGUAAAGCUCUGUUGUUAGGGAAGAACAAGUGCAAGAGUAACUGCUUGCACCUUGACGGUACCUAACCAGAAAGCCACGGCUAACUACGUGCCAGCAGCCGCGGUAAUACGUAGGUGGCAAGCGUUGUCCGGAAUUAUUGGGCGUAAAGGGCUCGCAGGCGGUUUCUUAAGUCUGAUGUGAAAGCCCCCGGCUCAACCGGGGAGGGUCAUUGGAAACUGGGAAACUUGAGUGCAGAAGAGGAGAGUGGAAUUCCACGUGUAGCGGUGAAAUGCGUAGAGAUGUGGAGGAACACCAGUGGCGAAGGCGACUCUCUGGUCUGUAACUGACGCUGAGGAGCGAAAGCGUGGGGAGCGAACAGGAUUAGAUACCCUGGUAGUCCACGCCGUAAACGAUGAGUGCUAAGUGUUAGGGGGUUUCCGCCCCUUAGUGCUGCAGCUAACGCAUUAAGCACUCCGCCUGGGGAGUACGGUCGCAAGACUGAAACUCAAAGGAAUUGACGGGGGCCCGCACAAGCGGUGGAGCAUGUGGUUUAAUUCGAAGCAACGCGAAGAACCUUACCAGGUCUUGACAUCCUCUGACAACCCUAGAGAUAGGGCUUUCCCUUCGGGGACAGAGUGACAGGUGGUGCAUGGUUGUCGUCAGCUCGUGUCGUGAGAUGUUGGGUUAAGUCCCGCAACGAGCGCAACCCUUGAUCUUAGUUGCCAGCAUUCAGUUGGGCACUCUAAGGUGACUGCCGGUGACAAACCGGAGGAAGGUGGGGAUGACGUCAAAUCAUCAUGCCCCUUAUGACCUGGGCUACACACGUGCUACAAUGGACAGAACAAAGGGCUGCGAGACCGCAAGGUUUAGCCAAUCCCACAAAUCUGUUCUCAGUUCGGAUCGCAGUCUGCAACUCGACUGCGUGAAGCUGGAAUCGCUAGUAAUCGCGG